UUAUAUAAAAUUAAUUUUUCUGGAUAUAUAACUGCAUUUCUGAUAUUUCGAGCAACCAUAUGGUUUUCGUUUCAGUUUGUUUGGUUCCCGUUUUCUAAAAUCCAUCCGGGUAUUUUGUCGGUUUCGGAUAGGUUGGAUUCCACCUAAUUCAAUUUGUAGGUGAGAAAAUAUUUACAUGCAUGUGAUAUGUAAUCUUGGUCUAAUCUCCAACGAAUAUUUACAUGCAUGCGAUGUUUUACAUUCUUCUUUUGUUCAAAGAGUUUUUUUUUUCUCAAAGAGUUAUUUUACGCUCAUGUAUCAUGAAUAGUUAUGAUAAUGUGAUCUGUGGUCAGAUAGUAAUAACGGAAGAUUGGAUCUUAGUUACAUGAAAUGAAAAUACUCCAAGAUAAGUCAUCGUCUUAGUCUUUCCAGUAAGAGUGAUUGAUAAUGGGAAUUGUGAUUCUUAGUCAAAAUUGAGGAAUUAGUGGGUUAGUGAAAUAUCGGAUUAGUAUAAUGAUUUAAUAU
This 504-nucleotide long non-coding RNA is filed under the name Brassica rapa (field mustard). RNAcentral's name for it is "long non-coding RNA (BRAP_LNC007095)". Lineage: Eukaryota; Viridiplantae; Streptophyta; Magnoliopsida; Brassicales; Brassicaceae. The record is from RNAcentral.